RNAcentral lists this ribosomal RNA (111 nucleotides) under Chinchilla lanigera (long-tailed chinchilla). The record is from RNAcentral. Lineage: Eukaryota; Metazoa; Chordata; Mammalia; Rodentia; Chinchillidae.
GUCUACAGCCAUACCACCCUGAAUGUGCCAGAUCUUGUCUGAUCUUGGAAGCUAAGCAGGGUUGGUCCUGGUUAGUACUUGGAAGGGAGAAUUUGAUUGGUAUUUGUGUCU